AAAGAUUAAGCCAUGCAUGUCUAAGUAUAAGCAAUUAUACAGCGAAACUGCGAAUGGCUCAUUAAAUCAGUUAUCGUUUAUUUGAUAGUUCCUUACUACAUGGAUAACCGUGGUAAUUCUAGAGCUAAUACAUGCUGAAAAUCCCGACUUCGGAAGGGAUGUAUUUAUUAGAUUAAAAACCAAUGCCCUUCGGGGCUCCUUGGUGAUUCAUAAUAACUUCUCGAAUCGCACGGCCUUGCGCCGGCGAUGGUUCAUUCAAAUUUCUGCCCUAUCAACUUUCGAUGGCUGGGUCUUGGCCAGCCAUGGUGACAACGGGUAACGGGGAAU
Molecule: ribosomal RNA, 327 nt
Filed under: uncultured fungus
Lineage: Eukaryota; Fungi
Description: SSU rRNA
Rfam family: Eukaryotic small subunit ribosomal RNA
Source: RNAcentral